This 232-nucleotide unclassified non-coding RNA is filed under the name Hevea brasiliensis (rubber tree). Lineage: Eukaryota; Viridiplantae; Streptophyta; Magnoliopsida; Malpighiales; Euphorbiaceae. The record is from RNAcentral.
GAUCGCAUUAAUAAUUCUGAAGCAACAGCAGAGUUUGAUGACUUGAUUGAUCUUGAAGCAUUAUUGGAUGAUGACGCUGUCAUGCCUACAGCUUCUUGAAGCCAAAUUCUCAUAAAUAUUACUGCCAAAGCAGUUUAGGACUUUUUCCCAAUCUGUUUUCAGCGUCAUGUGUUAUUAUUGUACCAUAGUUAACAUUGCACCUUCAGAACUUCAUACAAAUGUACAAAUUAAU